RNAcentral lists this ribosomal RNA (453 nucleotides) under uncultured bacterium. Its description in RNAcentral is "bacterial SSU rRNA". It matches the Rfam family "Bacterial small subunit ribosomal RNA", at positions 29 to 507 of the family's 1533-position model. The record is from RNAcentral.
AACGAACGCUGGCGGCAUGGAUUAGGCAUGCAAGUCGAACGCAGUAGCAAUACUGAGUGGCGAAAGGGUGAGGAACGCGUGAGUAAUCUGCCCCCAAGUUGGGAAUAACAGUUGGAAACGACUGCUAAUACCGAAUGUGGCUAAAAGAUCGCAUGAUCUUUUGGCUAAAGAUUUAUCGCUUGGGGAUGAGCUCGCGUCCCAUUAGUUAGUUGGUGAGGUAACGGCUCACCAAGACGAUGAUGGGUAGCUGGUCUGAGAGGAUGGUCAGCCACACUGGGACUGAGACACUGCCCAGACUCCUACGGGAGGCUGCAGUCGAGAAUCUUGGGCAAUGCGCGAAAGCGUGACCCAGCAAUGCCGCGUGAAGGAAGAAGGCUUUCGGGUUGUAAACUUCUUUUACCAGGGACGAAGGACGUGACGGUACCUGGAGAAAAAGCAACGGCUAACUACGUG